UACGAAGGUCCCGAGCGUUGUUCGGAAUCGCUGGGCGUAAAGGGAGCGUAGGCGGUUUGGUAAGUCAGAUGUGAAAUCCCGGGGCUCAACCCCGGAACUGCAUCCGAUACUGCCAGACUUGAGCAAUGGAGAGGUAGCUGGAAUUAUCGGUGUAGCAGUGAAAUGCGUAGAUAUCGAUAGGAACACUCGUGGCGAAAGCGAGCUACUGGACAUUUGCUGACGCUGAGGCUCGAAGGCUAGGGGAGCGAAAGGG
RNAcentral lists this ribosomal RNA (253 nucleotides) under uncultured bacterium. RNAcentral describes it as "partial 16S ribosomal RNA". It matches the Rfam family "Bacterial small subunit ribosomal RNA", at positions 524 to 776 of the family's 1533-position model. The record is from RNAcentral.